Molecule: ribosomal RNA, 274 nt
Filed under: uncultured bacterium
Lineage: Bacteria
Description: partial 16S ribosomal RNA
Rfam family: Bacterial small subunit ribosomal RNA
Source: RNAcentral
AUACGGAGGGUGCAAGCGUUAAUCGGAAUUACUGGGCGUAAAGCGUGCGUAGGUGGUUUGUUAAGUCAGAUGUGAAAGCCCCGGGCUCAACCUGGGAACUGCAUUUGAAACUGGCAUGCUAGAGUAUAGGAGAGGAAAGUGGAAUUUCAGGUGUAGCGGUGAAAUGCGUAGAUAUCUGAAGGAACAUCAAUGGCGAAGGCAGCUUUCUGGACUAAUACUGACACUGAGGUACGAAAGCGUGGGUAGCAAACAGGAUUAGAAACCCUAGUAGUCC